CCAACAUGGCAUCCAGCAGGCUGGCCCCUGCUGGCUCUGUCUUAAUGGUUGUAUGGGAGCUGAGUGCCUUGUGCACAUUGAUGUGUGUUCCCUUGCCAUGAUGUUGGAGAGCAAAACUGUCCCCAGGGUAUCUUCACUUUUGUGUUGAUCUCUGGCUUGGUACGGUGCAUUGCAUAUUCCUUGUGCUUCCCAGAGUUGCUCGGCAACAAUUACUGGGGGGAUAAACCAUGCAAUGAACAUUU
This is a non-coding RNA of Nematostella vectensis (starlet sea anemone), 242 nucleotides long. The record is from Rfam. Lineage: Eukaryota; Metazoa; Cnidaria; Anthozoa; Actiniaria; Edwardsiidae.